Molecule: long non-coding RNA, 907 nt
Organism: Rhododendron vialii
Lineage: Eukaryota; Viridiplantae; Streptophyta; Magnoliopsida; Ericales; Ericaceae
Exons: 4
Source: RefSeq, a predicted model, not a curated record
UCCCUAACGCGAACAACAAAAUCAGAGUCGGACGCCUCCCGCCUCUCUCUUUUGUGCUCCUCUCCGCAAUCGAAGGAAACCUCCAUACCUCUACAGCCCCUGAGCAAACGAUGAAAGCCCUCUGUCUUGUGCUCUCCUCCAAAUCUGUGAGGUGACUAUUUGGCUGUUUGGAUUGAAACUUGUCGAGGUAAAAGAUAAAAGAAAGACUAGCUAUUGAGAAGUACUGCACAAAGACAGACCAUAUAAUGAGGUGAUUGUGGAUGAAAAGCUCUACUCAAUCCAAUAUAAUUUUUAGCUAGAGAAGCUGAAUUUCCCAAGGUGAGCCAGAAGAGAAGUCCAAUCAUCAAUGUACUAUCAUCUGUCAUGUAUUCUUAUUUGUGCCCAUAAUCCUUCGAUAUGUUGUUUCUGAUUAGAACUCAAAAUACUUGUAUGUACAGUACCCACAGCAGCUCAUAGACAUAGAAGUUGGAUUAGAGAUAAAAGUUGCAGAGAAUGAUUUGAUUAGAGAUAAGAGCUGCGAUAAGAGCUAGAGCUUUUCAUGUCGAAACAGCAGGCACCAACCUAAAGUUCAAUUCUGAAGAAGAUGGGAUCGGCUUGGUUUUUGGACUUGAUCCUUUUUUUUUUGGAGAACAAGUACAUGAAAGAUGUUAUCCGAAAGGCUCAAUAGAAAUAUUCCAGCACUUGAAGGAAAAUUUGAUGACAUUGUAGCUAUUUUUGUUGUAUGAUUCAUGGAGACAAACAACGAUAUAUGUCUCUUUUUGUUGAAUGUAAAUAGCAAAUGCGGCCUUUUUGUGUUAUGGCUUAUGUAAAUCAUUAAACUUGACAUGCUAUGGUGGCUUUUUAUUUACCAUUGUUGAUGAAUAUCAUGCCUUGGUGGCUCUUUUUGUUUAAUCAAAUGUUGAUGAAU